CCAGACUCCUACGGGAGGCAGCAGUGGGGGAUAUUGCACAAUGGGGGAAACCCUGAUGCAGCGACGCCGCGUGAGUGAAGAAGUAUUUCGGUAUGUAAAGCUCUAUCGGCAGGGAAGAAAAAAAUGACAGUACCUGACUAAGAAGCCCCGACUAACUACGUGCCAGCAGCCGCGGGAAUACGUAGGGGGCAAGCGUUAUCCGGAUUUACUGGGUGUAAAGGGAGCGUAGGCGGCCAUGCAAGUCAGAAGUGAAAGCCCGGGGCUCAACCCUGGGAGUGCUUUUGAAACUGUGCGGCUAGAGUGUCGGAGGGGUAAGUGGAAUUCCUAGUGUAGCGGUGAAAUGCGUAGAUAUUAGGAGGAACACCAGUGGCGAAGGCGGCUUACUGGACGAUGACUGACGCUGAGGCUCGAAAGCGUGGGGAGCAAACAGGAUUAGAUACCCCUGUA
Molecule: ribosomal RNA, 447 nt
Filed under: uncultured bacterium
Lineage: Bacteria
Description: bacterial SSU rRNA
Rfam family: Bacterial small subunit ribosomal RNA
Source: RNAcentral